Molecule: ribosomal RNA, 426 nt
Filed under: uncultured bacterium
Lineage: Bacteria
Description: bacterial SSU rRNA
Rfam family: Bacterial small subunit ribosomal RNA
Source: RNAcentral
GUGAGGAAUUUUCCGCAAUGGGCGAAAGCCUGACGGAGCAAUGCCGCGUGAAGGAUGAAGGCCUAUGGGUUAUAAACUUCUUUUCUCAGAAAAGAAUUAUGACGGUAUCUGAGGAAUAAGCAUCGGCUAACUCUGUGCCAGCAGCCGCGGUAAGACAGAGGAUGCAAGCGUUAUCCGGAAUGAUUGGGCGUAAAGCGUCUGUAGGUUGUUUAAAAAGUAUUCUGUCAAAGAUUAGGGCUUAACCCUAGAUAGGCAGAAUAAACUUUUAAGCUAGAGUUUGGUAGAGGCAGAGGGAAUUCCCGGUGGAGCGGUGAAAUGCGUAGAUAUCGGGAGGAACACCAAAGGCGAAGGCACUCUGCUGGGCCAAUACUAACACUGAGAGACGAAAGCGAGGGGAGCAAAUGGGAUUAGAUACCCGGGUAGUCC